UUGUCAGGUAGGAUAAUCCUUACAUGUUCCUCCUUCUGGAGGGCAGGCUGGAACACGGUGGUUGGAGUUAGCGUGACUAUUGAUUAGUGUCUCUGCAGAGUCAGGACUUGCAGCACCCUGAUUGCAAAAAACAAAC
This is a small nucleolar RNA of Pteronotus mesoamericanus, 136 nucleotides long. RefSeq annotates it as U8 small nucleolar RNA. The record is from RefSeq and is a predicted model, not a curated record. Lineage: Eukaryota; Metazoa; Chordata; Mammalia; Chiroptera; Mormoopidae. The transcript has a single exon.